Molecule: long non-coding RNA, 465 nt
Filed under: Monodelphis domestica (gray short-tailed opossum)
Lineage: Eukaryota; Metazoa; Chordata; Mammalia; Didelphimorphia; Didelphidae
Description: lncRNA (ENSMODG00000039707.1)
Source: RNAcentral
CUCCAUAGAACAAGAUGGCGGAGUAGCUCCUUAGAGGACAGAUGCUAUUACUGGUCUCUUUAAGAGUUCUACAGACUAGGUUUCUAGUACUCUGUCCAUGAGCACAUAAACUUCCACCACUGGCAUCGAUUAGCUUUUAGCAAACAUUUUCUCAGAUGGUGUAUUAAGAAGAGCAAAUACAAAACAUUCUUCUUCAAAAAAAUCCUGAAGCAUACUCUCCCACAAAUGGACACAGAUCUAUAGAAAGAAUGGGCUUAGGUUUGGAAGACAAAGGUUCUCAAACACAUAGCAAAAGGGGCUUCUCCAUGCAGAAGAAGAAUAGAUUGAAGAAGUAGGGAAACCAGCCCUGGUUAGGAUGUUAUGGGACAUCUCCAAUCAGGCUACCCUGAUUGUAAUAGAGAAAGUAACCAUAAAAGUCAUGAUCCAUUUGAUAGGAUGAGUUAUCACGACCAAGACAGACCAGAG